AUGAGGUUUAAGGUCAAGAGGCCCUUCCUCCUUGAUUUUCUAGUGCUUACUAUCCUGUUCCUUGCAUGGAGCUUGUUCGUCACCGGUGAAAAAAUGGAAAACAUAGCUCAUGCAAAAGAUAUAGCAGAAUUGUCAGGAGCCGUUACUGUAACACAAAGGAAAAGCCAAACUUUGCUCUUAGCAAAACUAAUGCAGAAGAAGCCGCCUGAACCGCCGCCGCCAAGUCUUACGGCUCCCCCAGGGUCUCGUCCUUAACAGACAUUCCUUGUACUUCAUAUGUUAGAUCAUGUGUUAGACAUCUCUUGAUGUGGCGUAAAUGUCAAAAAUAGCAUAAUAUCGAAAUCAAAAUAGCAUAUGCAUUCUAUUCUAAAUGUCAGUUCAGCAGCAACCAUUGAAUAAAAGUGUUAACAUGUUAACACUUCCAGUUAACAUGUUCCUUCAA
Long non-coding RNA from Alnus glutinosa, 442 nucleotides. RefSeq lists it as uncharacterized. The transcript is spliced from 2 exons. Lineage: Eukaryota; Viridiplantae; Streptophyta; Magnoliopsida; Fagales; Betulaceae. The record is from RefSeq and is a predicted model, not a curated record.